AUUACGGGCCAUUCCGAUUAUCGCGCAAUGUUUAUUUCGAAAAAUCCCUUUUUGCCAGUUACAACACCUCGAAAUCGCGAAAGUAACGAUAAAAAUCAGUGGCACAUCGACUCGGGCACAAGUUAAUCCGGAAUAUCAUCAACGAUCCCCUGAACUCACGAAUUACUAAAUUACCGUGUUCUAACCCAACAAAGAGGAAUUCCAUUAUACCUUUAUACCUGAUGAUUGCAUCAACAAUUCCGAGAGUUGAUACGCAUUUACGAAAAUGCUGGAGGGACUCGUGGCCUGGGUGCUGAACAAUUACCUGGGGAAAUACGUCGAGAAUUUGAACACAGAUCAGCUGAGCAUAGCUCUCCUCUCAGGUGAAGUAGAGCUUGAGAAUCUCCCCCUGAAGAGAGAGGCCCUCCGACACAUAGGCCUCCCAAUCGAGAUAAAAGUAGGAUUUAUCGGUAAAGUUCGCCUGCAAAUUCCAGUCAGACAGAUCAGAUCCGCCUCAUGGGUGAUAGCAAUCGAGCAGCUGUACCUGGUGGCUGGACCCAUCAACCUAGAGGGUUACGACAGUGAAGUAGAGGAGCAGAUUUUGCAGGAGUACAAGCACAGUAAACUAGACUCCCUGGAAGCUCGAUGGCGUGCCUCAACGGAACGAGACCCUGGGUACUACGCCUCGAGCUACAGCUCCUGGUUGAACUAUGGCACCUCCCUGGUGACGAACAUAAUCGAGAACCUCCAGUUGAACAUAAAAGACGUCCACCUCCGCUUCGAGGACGACGUGACGCCAGGAUUAUCACAGAAGUCUGGGGUGGCCCUGGGGGUUACCAUCAAGGCCCUCUCGGCCCAGAGUUGUGACGCCAGUUGGAUACCUGGCUCCACCUCCUGGAACUUCAACGACGCCUCCUUCAAGCUGAUGGAGCUCGAUGGCCUCUCCAUCUACUGGAACCACUUGGACUCCUCUCAGUUGUUUGGAAAGCUGAACCUUGGGGAUUUAGCUGUCGCUAUGAACGAGUCCAAGAGCACCAUGUGGAAGUACAUACUCUCCCCAGUGAGUGCUUGUGCCAGGAUCAAGAGGGACAGGUCUGAGAAGCCCCUCAGGUCCAUCACCAGACCUAGGAUUGUCGUGGACCUUCAGCUGGAUCAGGUGCCACUGUUGAUCACUGACGAACAGUACGAGCAGAUUGUCAAGUGCAUCAAGGAACUGGAGGACAUAGAGCGAAGGAGAAGACAGCGAAGGUGUCGACCUCACUUGCCUAUCUCAGAGGCGCCAAAGGAGUGGUGGAAGUACGCUGUUCGAUGCCAUCUUGGGAGAGAAGCCUUGAAGCCAAAACCCACGUGGAGAGAUAUUUAUAAUCGAGGAGUGGACAAUGUAUUUUACGUGGAGACUUAUCAGAAGAUCUUGGCAACGCCAACAGCUAUUCUCUCGCCUGAUGCCAAAUCGAGGAAGGAGAGGAUUGAGUAUGAACUCAGUUAUGACGAACUGAGGGUGCUGAGGGAGCUGGCAAUGGCGAAGGUGAGGCCACCAGCACCAGCAAAGGCACCAGAGGCCGAUGCCAAUUCCCCAGCAGCUCGGGGGAUGCUCGUGCAGUGGUUUCCACAGUGGUGGGGGUGGUACUCGAAGGCACCACAGAGUAACAGCACCCCCAGUCAACCUGGGUCCUCAGCCUUCGAUGGAGAACUUCUGGACGUUCUUGCUGAUACCAUUGAUGAUAACACUCUUCUCAGGAGGGACACUGUGUUCGGACAGUUUAACUUCACACUCUCCAAGGGGGCCAUCUCCCUCUGCACCAAGGAUAAAGAUAAUACUGGGGACAAAGUCGUCAUGGAACUCCAGUUCGAGAGAGUUGUCCUGAGUUAUGAGUCCCGCCCCAGGUCUGGCUCGCACAAGUUCUCCAUCAGCCUUGGGGCCCUCUAUCUGCACGAUUUCCUGACGGUCAACUCAAUAUUUCCUAUUUUGAUUCAGCCACAGACACUUCCGGUUUGCAACUCCCGAUUGAGGUCCUCCUCGGAGAAACUCGUGGCUCAUCAGAACUCUCAACAGCCCCUCUUCGAGUUGAUUUACGAGAAGAAACCGUUUCAUGUUACCACUGAUCAUUCUUUGAGCUUGAGUACCAGGUCUCUGGAUGUUGUUUAUAAUUCUGUCGCCAUCAGGUGGCUCGUGGACUUUGUGAGCCGGCCUCACAAGAAUUCUAGUAAUCCUAGGCUUCAGGCCAUGAAGAGGAGGACUCGAAGGCAGUUGAUGAAGAAUUGGGAGCAGAUUCUUGAGGGGGAUUUUGUUUACAGGUCCUCUUGGGACCUGCAGUUCAAUAUUUCAGCCCCUCAGAUUCUUCUAGUCGAGAAUUUUCAAGAAACAACUGCAGCUGUGGUUGUUGUUGACUUUGGAAGACUCCAUUUGACGAACAGUAUCGAUAAUAAGAAGGUAGUGUUGAGACCAGGAUCACCCACUAGUGAGGAUGACAUAAACGAUCUCAGUCAAGCCAAAGAUAUCAAGGAUUUGGAAAGAGACGAGGACGACGAGGACGAGAGGUUCCAGACCCCAUGCUCUACACCUCCAGGAAGCCAGGAAAACGGUUCCAUCCAGGAGUUCCAGGGGAUCUCAGAGUCUGCUAUUCAUCACAAGUUGUACGACCAGUACAGCAUCUACUUGUCAGAUCUCCAGGUGCUCGUCGGGAAGGUCAAGGACAAUUGGAAGCACGCGAGGACCAGGGGAAUGUCGACUCUCCACGUUCUAGAGAGGUUUAACAUCUCCCUUCAGAUCGAGAGAAGGGUCGUCUCCACUGUUGACCCCCAGUUUCCGUCCCUAACGAUCUCCGGGAAUCUACCUAGACUAGUUGUCCACGUGAACGAGCAGAAGGUCGAGGCGAUCAGGUCCAUGUCCAAUCAACUGAUCACGAGUCUGUCUGGGGGAUCAGAGGGGCAUUCCUCGCAGUUGAGUGACCCUGGGGAGCCCGAGAGUCCGAAGAAAGAGGAGCCCUUGGACAAAACAAUGAACCACGCCAUGAUGAUACAAUUCAUGAUCGACCAGAUGACAUUUGAGCUGCAGUCCAGGGGGAGGAGUGUGGCUGAACUCCAGGUGUCUGGCGUGAGAGCGGCCAUGACCAAGAGACCAGCUGACCUCAGUGUCUCGUUGUCGGUCCACGGGCUUCUCCUGGUGGACGCAAUGCAGGAGUUUGGCCCGGAUUUUGAGCUCCUGGUGGCCAGCCACAAGCACGUGGGGAUGGACAGUGUUUCGGGGAGUUUGAAGGACUCUGAACCAACCUCUCCAGUUUCUCCAGUGUCUCCAGGCUCUCCUGACCCCACAGCCCCCAGGAGACUCACCUCACCUGUGGCGUUAACCCGAGCUCUAUCCAAUCUCGCUCACGACACGAAGAAUCUGUUCUCCCCCAGGAAUAACUCACUCAUGGGGCUGGAGCAAUUAGAUAACGAGGCCUUGAUCGUCGUAGAGCUGACGCUGAUUGAGGAUCCUCUGGAGAAACUGAGGGUUGCUAGCAUUCAGUUCAAUAAUCUCGAUAUCAUUGCCAAUCAGGAGACGAUUGUGGAGUUGAUUGGCUUCGUCAGAAGGCUGCUGCCUUCGUCUAAAGUAUCGAAGAAUAAAAAGAUCAAUAGGCAGGAUUCGAUACUCAGUCUGACCGUGGAGGGAAAGCCCGAGAGGACGGAAAUCACGUUUGAUUUUCACAGGCUGAAUGUUCUGCUUUUAAGAGCAGUCAUGCAGGAUAGUCAUCUGAUUGGACAAAAAAUAGCCACUGCCACGAUGUCCGAUGCCAGGAUCCAGGCGACAUUAGCCACGAAUACCUCGAUUUCAGGGUCUCUGGGGGGUCUCCAGGUCCUCGAUCAAACGCUAAUUGGCAAGACUCACCAGAGAAUCAUCAGUGUGGGGAGGGAUCCCCUGUGCAACCCAUCGCACGACCCCCUCGAGCACGUGUCAGGGCUGUCAAACCAACCGGAGGCCUUCAGCUUUUCAGCAAGUCGAAAUUCAACUGCUGAAGGCAGUGGCCAACUGGACAGUGUCGACAUCGCUGUGAGAGUUGGAAGUGUUUGGUACACACAUGCCCCUCACCUCAUCUCCGAACUGAGAUCCUGUGCUGACGAGUUUAAACAGUACUUGAGUAAUCUUGCUAGGCACAUUGGGGCAGCUGCCACUGAUAUGGCAAUGGGGCUUGUCCACGAGGACUGGAGUGGCCCCCAGAGGAAGAGGCUCCCCAGCUUCUCCCAGGACAUCGAAGCCACCUCUGGAAUCCUCACAUUGAGGCUGGAUGUCGUCCUAGACAGCCCUGUGCUCGUGAUCCCCAGGUCUUCUCACAGUCCUCAGGUGUUCGUGGCUCACCUGGGGACGAUGUCUCUUCAGCACGAGCCUUCUGACGACUCCAAGCUCACUGUCAGCCUCGACGUCAGAGACAUCAACUUGUACUCCCUCGACGUCAGCUCAAAGCUCUCUCACAUCACUGGGACUAAUUUACCUCUGAGGGCAGACGAUGUGUACAGCUGCAAGGAGUCGGGAAGACCCAUCCUACACGACACGUCGUUGAAGAUACUCGUUGAGAAGGGCUUCAUAGCCUCCCUUCACAGUUCAGGAUUUCUUCUGGACCAGGAUUUCCAGACGAGCUCUCAGCAGCCGAUAGUGCAGGUUCACGGAGGCGUCAUCACCCCCUUGAAAGUAUCGUUAUCCAGGAGUCAGUACGAGCAGCUCCUGGACACUGUUCACGUGAUAUUCUCGGCCCCCCAGAGCACCUCUGCGAACAUCCCUCCAGCGGAGAGCACAUCAACCUCCAAAAGCUACUCUCAAAAAUCAUUUCAAGUCGCCAUGAAAGUUCUCUUCGAACUCCCAACCCUCAGCAUUCAACUCAAGCAGGAUCACUCGGAGCAGCCCCUGGUGGAGCUCUCGAUGCAGGAGUUUGUGACCAAGUACGAGAAGCUGUCGAUGAACGACUCAACGACUCAAGUCUCUCUGAGGUCGCUCCUCAUGGAGGACCUCCUCUGCCCCAUUGGCUCGAGACACAGAUCGAUGAUGCAGUCCUCUGCCCCCACUCGUGCGAAGGUACCUCUGGGGGUCUCGCGAUCCUGUCCGGAUCUGGCUUUCAACAAAAAAUGGAGGAGUGAGCACGGCAGGGGCAGCCUCCCAGACAGGCUAGAGACAGACACUUUGUAUGGGACUAUUCCUGCGCACUGGAGGAAGGCCUCCUCCCUCGUGGGCACCCCCAACACUCCUCCCCCGUCCCCUGGAGCAAUCACUUGUGAAGAGAAUCUCGUCUUAAUCAGCAUCACAAUGACUGAAAUCCUCCCCAAGACCGACUCUCUCCGUCCAAUUCUCCAGAAGUCUGUUUGCAUCGAUUUCAACUGUCUAGAUCUGGUCGUCAGCGUUGAAUCCUGGAUGAUAGUUCUAGACUUCUUUGGAAUUGGCACGAGCCAAGUGAAUUCCAGGAUUUCCACCAGAACUAGGGACCUGGCAACAUCGACUACUUCCAUCGCCACUGCGUCCACUUCAACUGCAGCCAAUGGCCCAGCGAACGAAUAUACUGAUCCCUCAGGGGUCACAAAGGAGCUUCAUUCAGACACAGAAAUCGAGAUUCGCUCGUUGACGCUCGUUCUCACCAGAACCGACAAAGAAAUCGCAAAGGCGAACAUCUCGAACGCAAGCAUGACGAUCGUCAAAGCCUCGGGGAAGUCCAAAGUCUCUGGAUCGCUGGGUUCAAUGUCCCUGUUGGACCUGACCCCUCACGGCAGGUUCUACAGGGAGAGAUUUCUCUCCUCAGGGAGGAAAGCCCUCAACUUUCAGUACUCAAGCUACGAGGACUCCAGGCGGCUCUCUUACGACGCCAAACUGAAACUCCAGAUGUCCUCAGUGCACUACGUUCACACCCAACGAUUCGUCGCUGAACUCCAGGCGUUCUUCAGGCACUUCUCCCAGCUGAGGGCGGUAAUGCAGAACCUCAGGUCUGGGGAAGUUCCUGUCUUAUCAAUGGAACAGACUAGGGGCACGAGAUUGUCCCUGGAGCUCCAUGCAGGGGCCCCCGUUAUCCUCCUCCCAGUGAGCUCUCAAUCGGACAAACUGGCUGUCCUCGAUCUUGGGGAAUUGACUGCUCACAACUCCUUCCACCACUCGAAGGACUCCCCUCAGUGCCUCCUGGACGUAAUGCACCUGGAGCUGGUGAACAUGGACGUGUUCGCGGCCCAGAGGAUCAGACAGUGUCUAGACAGGAGUGAUUACGACAACAGCGGGGAUGACAGUGACACCCUGAUGAUCGGGGGGUUCUACCUGAAGAAACUGGGCCCCUCUUUGCUGACAGAGAAGUGCCACCUGAGCUUGAGAAUCGAGAGGAAUCUUGACACCUACAUCAACAGAGACAUCCCAGACCUGAGUGUCCACGGGACUUUAUCAACAAUGAAUUGUGCACUGGAUCCAGCCCAGUACAUGCUCAUCAGGGGUCUCCUGGCUCACAAUAUCGGAGAGAAUCUGGACGACAUUCUUCUGUUCUUGGAGGAUCUGCAGGACUCCACUGAGUACUUCAUGACCGAGGAGGCGGUUGGAGGGAAAGUCUGGACGAAAUCCUGCGUUAUUCUUGAUAUCGUUAAUGUUGCUGUGAAGCUUCACCCCAACCACGGGAUCGCAGCCCUCGCCUGCGUCAAUUUCAUCAAGUCAAGAUUAACUCUGGACUCUCUGAGCGAUGGAUCGCAGGACAUUGACCUGGUGUCCCAGGAGAUUCUGGUCAUAGACACGAGGUUUCAGGACGAGCCCGUGAACAAACGAUCCAACGUCUUCACGAGUAUUCUCCAGCCCCUGAAGAACUUCGGGGGGAUUGAGGACAGGGUCCAAGCCGAGAUCCACCACAGGAGGAGGAAGAACAACGCAGCGACGACGAUUCUUCUGCACAGCAUGAGACUGACAGCCAUUUUAGACUGGUGGGAGGCAGUGAGGGACUUUCUAAUCCUGAAUUCCCCAGAGCCAGAGCCCAUCGGCAUCUCCAGACCCCCUCUCGUCUCCCAGGAGAUUGACCCCUCGACGACGACUUCCUCUCCAUUCGAAUUGAAACUCAAUCUAACGGACUCUGAACUCGUCAUCGUGGAGGACACGUCCCUCUGGGACACCAACGCAGUCAUUCUGAAGUGCACAGCAGUCCUGGCUUACAGGUCUCACCCUCAGGACGGGGAGAAACCGUUGUCCUGUAACUUAUCCCACUGCGAGCUGUACUCCUGCAUCCUGGGGAUGGAGGAGGAGACGGCGCUGUCGAUCAUCGACCCAGUGGGUGCCAGUGUCGAAUUGACGAAGGAAAAAGCCUUGGAAAUCCAACUGCAGCCCUUAAACGUUAAAUUAAGCUAUCACGACGUGACGAUGUUUGGAAGAAUGGUGAAUUCCCUGCCUAAACAGACGCUCUGGGCCAAGCAGAGGUCCCUGUCAGGGCCCCCAGCCAACGCCAAGAGCCACAUAAUGAAGCUGUCGGCCCUGGGAUUCGCUGAAACCGAUUGUGAAGCUGCUUUGGACGUCUGCAAUGGCCAACUGGAUGACGCCGCCCUGUGGUUGACGCAACACGCAGUCCCCAAUGCUGAGGACAACCGCCCUAGGAGUGGAUUCCAAGCCAUCGAGAUUGAGACAGCCUGUCUGAGGAUUUGCGUCAUUGACGACUGCAGAGAUGCGGAUGUCCCUCUGGCCGAACUCGUGCUCAUGGACUUCUGUCUGCGGCAGGUGCUCGAGGGCCCUGGCUCCAUGCGAGCCACUUUUGGAGUUGACUACUACAAUAGAGUCCUGAGUGGGUGGGAACCCUUCAUCGAACCCUGGAAGACGUCUGCUAGGUGGGAGCACAGUGUCGGGAAUGCUCUGAACACCAAGAGACUUCAAGUGGAGGUGCAGUCAGAGGACUCGGUGAACGUCAACAUCACCUCGACUCUGGUGGAGCUCGUGAGCCUCGUCAAGGACAACUGGACGCAGGAUUAUUACCUGAGCAAUAAGCAUGACCCUGGAGCCUCGAAAUCCUCGUCCUCGUCUCUGAAUAGCCUCCAGGGGUACUACAGGCGACGAUCGCCAUUCGUUCCCUUCGCCCUGAAGAACGAGACUGGAACCAACUUGUGGUUCAAGACGUUCAUUGCAGUGGCUGAUGACGUGUGUCAGAUCAGCGAAUACUUCAACGACGAUAACAAUCUCAUCAGGGACAAGACCUGGCGCGAAGUGCCCUCAGGGGAGACGAUCCCCUUUACCUUCGAGGAGAGAGGAAAACUUCGGCACCAGACGACUCAUCAAGUCAGAAGACAUCAGAUCGCUGUUCUCGUCGAGGGGUGGAGGCCAGUGGAUCCAGUCACUGUCGACAGAAUCGGGGUUUACUUUCGUCAUGCCAGCGCUGAUUUGAAGCUCGUGGGGUCGUCAGCGGGGAAGGCCAGAGUGGUUUUCGCUGUUGAGCUCGAAGGAUCCGCCAGGAAACUGGUGACAGUGAGGUCAGCCCUCCAGAUCGCGAAUAAACUCUCUCAUCCAGUGGACAUAAAACUGGAGAAACUGGGGUUCAGUCAGUUCGGGUACUACGGGGGACCUGUGAACGUCGUGAACUCCAGCACGAAGGUCCUUCACAUCCCCGAGCACUCGGUGAUGUCUGUCCCCUUGACCCACACCAGCGUCAAAAUGUACCUGAAGCCCCAACACCCGAACUUCGCUUUUCAGUACAGCAUGGAGCCCAUAGAGUGGACCCUCGUGAAGAAGCCAAUGGAAGUUGUGGAGGUUCUCACCACCUGCAGGACCAAUCAGAAUAAUUUAUUCAGGAUGUGUGUGGCUGUCAGGAGGGACAACUACCCUGUUGACACUGGACAGAACAUCCUCCCCGCUCACACCAUCUCUCUUCUGCCUCCAGUUACUCUGACGAAUCUUCUGCCUCACGAAGUGUCGUAUCAGGUGUCCACAGCUGAGACUGGGAGGAUCGGCCCUGGGAUGAGUGCUGAUCUCCACAGUGUCAAUGUUGAAGAACAGCUCGAGAUCACUGUCCAGCUUGAUGGCUACCCAGGGAGUGGGACGCUGUUACUGUCUCAGAUAUCUGGAUCAUUCGUGGGGAGGAUGAAGCUGACGGACUCCGCGGGGAGAAUCCUCUUCCUCAACGCUGCUGUCAUCGUUGAGAGAGGAUCCGCUGUCAAGAUCAACAUCACUGCUCCUUACUGGAUCGUCAAUAAAACGGGACUGCCUCUGGUGUUCAGGCAGGAGGGGGUGGGGACAGAGGCUGCUGGGCAGUUUGAAGAGCACGAGAGAGCCAGGAUGGUGGCGCCAUUGUUAUUCUCCUUCAGCGAUGAAGAGGCCAGUAGAACGUUGGCCGUCAGGGUGGGCUCAGGGGUCCAUCCCAAUGGGGUGUCCCAGUGGUCCCAGCAUUUUCAUCUGCAGCCAGGGGUUCAGGUGCACAGGCUGAGGAUCAGCCUCAGGGACGGAAGGCCUGACAUCGUCUACCUCAUUGGGGUCUCCACGAGGACCGCCAGGGGGAGGUACAGAGCGACGACUGUUGUCACACUGUCCCCCAGAUAUCAGCUACACAACAGGUCCUCCUGUACCUUGGAACUGGCGCAGAGAUGUUUCACGACGACUGUCAGUCACCCUGAUGCUCAAGCCACGUACAUCACAGCCAUGCCAGACUGCCACAUGCCUUUCCACUGGCCCAGGCUCGAUAAAGAUCAGCUGCUGUGUGUCAGGAUCAUCGAUGUUCCCAACUGCAUGUGGUCUGGGGGGAUAAUUCUCGAUGGGAACCACUCCCUGACGAUCAACAUCAGGGAUGCAGGCGGCAAGAUGCAUUUCCUGCGGGUUGACGUUGUGCUUCAAGAGAGCACUUACUUCAUCGUCUUCACUGAUGCCAACACAAUGCCCCCUCCGAUAAGGGUUGACAACUUCUCCGAAGUUGCGCUGACGAUUAAUCAAGCUGGGGUGCUUGACAGUCUCCAGUGGACAGUCAGGCCUCACUCAUCUGUACCUUAUGCCCUUGAUGAACCGACACAAAGUGCUAAUUUAACUGUGACUGCGCCUGGAGGAGUCACGGGGUCCUACGAUCUGAAUCUCCUCGGGGAGAAUCGAGGCCUGACUUACGAAAAUUUUAUUUACAUCGCGUUCACUGGGACCUUCAAAAUCGAUGGGGAUCUGGGGACUGGGGAGGGCGGUCUGGACCCCCUGGAUGUGGAGACCCAGAGGCUAGUGCUGGAGGCUGGCCCUGGGGGGUGGGUUGCUCUCAGGAGGAAGCAAAAUGGCGCGAGGUCUCAGUUGUGGAGGAUGACUGGGGAUGGACAGUUGCAGCACGAGGGCUCCAGCCCUCCCAGGGACAAACACUCCAGAACUCCUGACAGUGUUCUUGUGCUGGACAUCGCUGGAACUGCCCCUCAACCCUUCACCUACUGCGCUCUAGCCUUGAGGAGACCUGAUCAGAGGAGACGAUCCACGCAGACCUGGAGGUUCACGGACGAUGGGAGACUCUGUUGUGCUCACAAGAACAUGUGCGUUCAGUCCAAGGACGGGUUCAUGGGGCUGUACGAAGGCGGGAGUGUCGCCCGUUGGCAAAUGUGGAGUGAGGCAGUUCUGGGGCCUCAGACUCACAGCGACCCUCCACCCAUUGAACAGAGAGUUGGAAGACAACGGUUGAGACCUGGAUCAGGGUUUCUCUCCGUUCGAGUGACUACCGAUGGGCCUACAAGGGUCAUACAAGUUCUGGAUAUUAAAGAAAGAAAGAAGACCUUCGCCCUUCUAGAAGAACGCGACUGGUCCCACAUAGCAGUGGCGCAGCGGCCGAGCCAGUUGAACCCGUCCACGAAAAAGCCCUCGACCCUCUCCUCAGAGCUCCAGGUGGCCAUUAGCCUGCCGGCGGGUCUCGGCCUGUCAGUGGUCUCCCGCAGGCCGGUGGAGGAGCUCCUGUUCGCUCGGCUCGUUGGAAUCGCCUUCGAGACGAUCCAGACCCCCUCAAACACAACCCUGAACCUCAGCAUCGACGACGUUCAAAUCGACAAUCAGCUGUUCGAGGCCCAGUGCACCUCAGUCCUCUACAUAACCCGGCCAUCACGAGCGGAGAGCGACGAGAGGCCAGCGAUAGACGUGGCCACAGAGAAGCUCCCCUCGAAAAACCAAAACGCCGAGAUCUUCAAGCACCUGAUCGUCAGCAUAAAACCCCUCUGCGUGCACCUGGAGGAGCGCUUAAUCCUGAAGCUAGCAGCCUUCGUGGGCACAGGAAGCUCCGACUUCGACGUACCCGUUGACGAGAACGACUUCAAGGCCCAAAGGCUCAUCUCCCAGGUGUCAGCAGCCCACGCCAGGAGAUACUACUUCGGAGUUCUGAAGCUCGUCCCCAGCCAGGUGAAGCUCAGCGUCCUAACGACCACAAAACUCCCCCGACAUCUUCAAUCCAUAAAGCGAAAGCUGGGUCUGACCCUCAUCAAGUUCGAGGACGCCUCCAUCGAGCUGGAGCCAUUCGUGAAGAAACAUCCCUUCGAGAGCAGUCAGUUCCUCAUCCACUCGAUCCUAAAACACUACAAGGACGAACUGAAGUGGCAGGCAGCUGUGAUCCUGGGCUCUGUGGACUUCCUGGGGAAUCCUCUGGGCUUCGUUAACGACGUGUCCGAGGGGGUGUCAGGGCUCAUCCACGACAAGAGUGUGACGACCCUUGUGAAGAACGUGACCCACGGCCUGUCGAAUUCAGCAGCCAAACUGACAGAGUCUCUGUCUGAUGGUCUUGGGAGAGUGAUUUUGGACGAGAGCCACGAGGAGACGAGACAGAGGAUUCGUACGAACACCGCUGGCAGCAGCGAUCAUCUGGUGGCAGGGCUCAAGGGCCUGGGCUUUGGCCUGCUGGGGGGAUUCACCAGUAUAUUCAAACAGACGUACGAUGGAGCUGCCAACGAGGGCUUCCCUGGGUUCUUCGCUGGGCUGGGCAAAGGAGUCGUUGGAACAGUGACUAAACCAGUGGUUGGGGUCCUGGAUUUGGCCAGCGAGGCGGCCACCGCCAUCAGGGAGUCCUCCAGAAGUGCUCAUCGAGCCAUUCCCAAGAGGGACAGACUCCCCAGGGUCGCCAGUGGCCCAGCAGGACUCCUCCCCCCUUACAACUGCCAUCACGCCGAGGGGCAGGAGUUCCUCUACAGUAUCAAUCAGCGGGACUACUCCGAGCUUUAUGUCGCCUACGAGAGCCUCUGCAGUGGCACCGAGAAUCUCAGUAUUCUCGUCUCGAAUGAGAGGGUCAGGGUCAUAUCAGGCAGCACCAAAACUGUCGUCACUGAGGUCAGUCUUGCUGAUCUUGUCCAGUGUCAACCCACUCAGGUGAACGAGAGCAAUGGGAGCACUUUGUAUUAUAUCGAAUUAACUUCGAGGAUCGACUCUGCUGGUGGAGUGACUUUCGAUGGGCCGGAAGUCCUCAGGAGACCUAAAGUCAGGUGUGACACUGAGGAGAUCGCCAAGUGGGUCUCCCAGCAGAUCAAUUAUGCCAAAGGAAUGCAUCAGGAGCGCAGGCUCACGCUCAUGUCCUCGGAUAAUAUGCUUGAUGACAUUCAUUCGUACAAGUAAACUUUUAUUUUAUUUUUUUACAUUAUGAGGGUGAUAUUUAUGAGAGAACAAUAUGGAGAGCUAUCUUGCUCCAGUUAUCGUCGUGAUAAUGAGUUGCUUGAGUUAAACACGUCACAAUGUCUAGGGUAGCUGUUUCUAUGUAUAGAAAUCGGGCUGUGAAGUACCAAGUUAGAUUUAUUUUCACUGCGACGUGGCACGAAUGCUCUGCGAAUUAUAAAACGUGUACAAAAGACUGAGAAUACGUAUAAUAUUGAUAAAUGCAAUCAACAGUUUUGCUUAUUUCGCUUGUUCGGGGAGAGGUAGACGAGUGAAUUGUUAAACAUUAGGAAUAUAUCAUUUCAGAGUUAUUUCCAGUUUAUAGAGCGAUAGUUGCGAUGUUGUAUUAGCCUGGUGAUUGUAAAUACGUAUUUAUUUUUCAGUUUGAUUGAUAAAACCGAAUCGUGCGCAGUCGAGUGACUGCGUUGGGUGGGCUGCUAUCGAACUGUCAUGCACUGAAGUGUCAAAAUUAAAAAGCAAAUCGAGUGGGGGUUCAGAGUCAAUGACAUCC
Diachasma alloeum is the source of this 13025-nucleotide RNA transcript. It is a transcript of the gene named vacuolar protein sorting-associated protein 13D, with no coding region annotated. The transcript has 7 exons. The record is from RefSeq and is a predicted model, not a curated record. NCBI's taxonomy places the organism in Eukaryota, Metazoa, Arthropoda, Insecta, Hymenoptera, Braconidae.